UAAUCGCGAAUCAGAAUGUCGCGGUGAAUACGUUCCGGGUCUUGUACACACCGCCCGUCACACCAUGGGAGUCGGAAAUGCCCGAAGUCAGUGACCCAACCGCAAGGAGGGAGCUGCCGAAGGUGGAGCCGGUAACUGGGGUGAAGUCGUAACAAGGUAGC
Molecule: ribosomal RNA, 161 nt
Filed under: uncultured bacterium
Lineage: Bacteria
Description: partial 16S ribosomal RNA
Rfam family: Bacterial small subunit ribosomal RNA
Source: RNAcentral